CGGACGGGUGAGUAAUGUCUGGGAAACUGCCCGAUGGAGGGGAUAACUACUGGAAACGGUAGCUAAUACCGCAUAACGUCGCAAGACCAAAGAGGGGACCUUCGGGCCUCUUGCCAUCGGAUGUGCCCAGAUGGGAUUAGCUAGUAGGUGGGGUAACGGCUCACCUAGGCGACGAUCCCUAGCUGGUCUGAGAGGAUGACCAGCCACACUGGAACUGAGACACGGUCCAG
RNAcentral lists this ribosomal RNA (230 nucleotides) under uncultured bacterium. RNAcentral's name for it is "partial 16S ribosomal RNA". It matches the Rfam family "Bacterial small subunit ribosomal RNA", at positions 99 to 334 of the family's 1533-position model. The record is from RNAcentral.